UGGGGAAUAUUGGGCAAUGGGCGCAAGCCUGACCCAGCAACGCCGCGUGAAGGAAGAAGGCCCUCGGGUUGUAAACUUCUUUUAUCAGGGACGAACACAAUGACGGUACCUGAUGAAUAAGCCACGGCUAACUACGUGCCAGCAGCCGCGGUAAUACGUAGGUGGCAAGCGUUAUCCGGAUUUACUGGGUGUAAAGGGCGUGUAGGCGGGAGAGCAAGUCAGAUGUGAAAACUCAGGGCUCAACCCUGAGCCUGCAUUUGAAACUGUUCUUCUUGAGUGAUGGAGAGGCAGGCGGAAUUCCGUGUGUAGCGGUGAAAUGCGUAGAUAUACGGAGGAACACCAGUGGCGAAGGCGGCCUGCUGGACAUUAACUGACGCUGAGGCGCGAAAGCGUGGGGAGCAAACAGGGAUUAGAUACCCUGGGUAGU
This 427-nucleotide ribosomal RNA is filed under the name uncultured Oscillospiraceae bacterium. Its description in RNAcentral is "bacterial SSU rRNA". It matches the Rfam family "Bacterial small subunit ribosomal RNA", at positions 355 to 794 of the family's 1533-position model. The record is from RNAcentral. Lineage: Bacteria; Bacillati; Bacillota; Clostridia; Eubacteriales; Oscillospiraceae.